CCUACGGGGGGCAGCAGUGGGGAAUAUUGCACAAUGGGGGAAACCCUGAUGCAGCGACGCCGCGUGAAGGAAGAAGUAUCUCGGUAUGUAAACUUCUAUCAGCAGGGAAGAAAACAGACGGUACCUGACUAAGAAGCCCCGGCUAACUACGUGCCAGCAGCCGCGGUAAUACGUAGGGGGCAAGCGUUAUCCGGAUUUACUGGGUGUAAAGGGGGCGCAGACGGCCAUGGCAAGCCCGGUGUGAAAGGCAGGGGCAUAACCCCUGGACUGCACUGGGAACUGUCAGGCUGGAGUGCCGGAGGGGG
RNAcentral lists this ribosomal RNA (305 nucleotides) under uncultured bacterium. RNAcentral describes it as "bacterial SSU rRNA". It matches the Rfam family "Bacterial small subunit ribosomal RNA", at positions 338 to 658 of the family's 1533-position model. The record is from RNAcentral.